UUAUUAACUCUAAGCUUUUCUUCACGACUGAAAGUGCUUUACAACCCUAAGGCCUUCUUCGCACACGCGGCAUCGCUGGGUCAGGCUUUCGCCCAUUGCCCAAGAUUCCCUA
RNAcentral lists this ribosomal RNA (112 nucleotides) under uncultured bacterium. RNAcentral describes it as "partial 16S ribosomal RNA". The record is from RNAcentral.